Oryzias latipes (Japanese medaka) is the source of this 331-nucleotide long non-coding RNA. RefSeq lists it as uncharacterized. The record is from RefSeq and is a predicted model, not a curated record. NCBI's taxonomy places the organism in Eukaryota, Metazoa, Chordata, Actinopteri, Beloniformes, Adrianichthyidae.
CAGUCGAAUUGUCAUGGUGCCUCUGUCAGACUCCUCCCCCUCCAGCUUGGCUCCACUCUGCUCCUGAUUAUUCUCCAGCUGCCGUCACUCAACUCAUCAACCUCUGCUGCUUAAAAGGAGACCCAAUGCCAAUAAUCAGCGCCAGAUCGUUGCCCAUUUUGGAAACCGGUCCAAGAGUGACGUCAGCACAGUCUCCAGCCUGCUGUCGGGAAGGAUCAGUGAACUGCCGCGUCCGCACCUCCAGCCGUGCCACAGACUAUCCAUCUGGAUCACCUCUCGCCAACCCUCUUUGCCAGCCUCAAAGAAAAUAAUAAAUCCUUCUUACCUGCCA